GGGUUGGUUGAUUAAACAGGUUGAAUUGGUUUGGAAAUUAAAAGCGUUUUUCGAAAACGCUUUUUUCUUUUAUAAUGCACAAGUUUUGUGGACCUUACACUUGGCACCUUUGUGAUCGUUGGAUUGUUGAUUUUUGGUGGAUUGUUAAAAGCCUCGUGCCUCUUCAGUUUCACACUAAUCUGAGUGAACGAUUCUAAGGUUUUCUUCAUCUUCUCUCUGAGGGUUUCUGGACUCUUCUGCUCUUGUAAUUUUCUGAAAGCAAUCUCUAAUCUGAGUGAUGUUAGGAUUGUAUUUGGUAUAUGAUCUAUGAGAUUGUAAAAAACUGAGUGUUGUGUUAAAGAGGGGCGAUAGAAAUCUGAAAUCCAUUCUUGUAUCGAUUCUUUGUGAUUCUUAGUGGAUUCGAGACUAAUCUAUUUUUGUAGAUGCUUAACGGGUGAGUAGGCCUUUUGGUUGAACAUCCGGG
This 463-nucleotide long non-coding RNA is filed under the name Olea europaea (common olive). RNAcentral's name for it is "long non-coding RNA (OEUR_LNC006706)". The record is from RNAcentral. Lineage: Eukaryota; Viridiplantae; Streptophyta; Magnoliopsida; Lamiales; Oleaceae.